RNAcentral lists this ribosomal RNA (368 nucleotides) under uncultured bacterium. RNAcentral describes it as "bacterial SSU rRNA". It matches the Rfam family "Bacterial small subunit ribosomal RNA", at positions 917 to 1289 of the family's 1533-position model. The record is from RNAcentral.
GGGCCCGCACAAGCGGUGGAGUAUGUGGUUUAAUUCGAUGCAACGCGAAGAACCUUACCAGGGUUUGACAUCCUGCGAAUUUCUGGGAAACCGGAAAGUGCCUUCGGGAGCGCAGUGACAGGUGGUGCAUGGCUGUCGUCAGCUCGUGUCGUGAGAUGUUGGGUUAAGUCCCGCAACGAGCGCAACCCACGUCUUUAGUUGCCAGCAUUUAGUUGGGCACUCUAGAGAGACCGCCGGUGAUAAACCGGAGAAGGUGUGGAUGACGUCAAGUCAUCAUGCCCCUUACAUCUGGGCUACACACGUACUACAAUGCUACGGACAAAGGGCAGCAAACUCGCGAGAGCUAGCAAAUCCCAUAAACGUGGCUC